CCCCUCCCCAUUUCCCCUCCGUCUUUACAUAAUUCCAAACCCUAGCCGCCCUCAUUCUCUACUCCCUCACCGGCCGCCGUCCACUGCAAAUCGUCCCAUAACGACGGCCUAUCACCAAACCACCCCAAAUUCACCCUCUACACUCUCCACAACCUCCUGAACAUCAAUACACCACCAACUUCCCCUAAAUCACCACCCAAAUCCAUUAAAUCGAGAUCUAAAAAUUGAAAUCCAAAACCCUGGGUCGCCUAAACAAUCGUAAAAUUACACCUCACACUCCUCACACGCCCUUAAACCUUAAUCCAUUGUCGAAUUCCCGGAAGUCCACCAUUAUUUUAUUAAUUUCGGAUUCGAGUUUGGAACCCUAGCUUUAUCUCUGUCUCUAAUUUGGGCAUGCAAGUCUAGUCGUUUGAACCCAAGAUCUACAUCAAUUGAUUUCUCUUGAUGAGAGAAAUCUAUUGAUGUUAGUCCUAGUUUAUUUACCUACAAAAUUUGACCCUAGUUUGCAAUCGUAUGGUAUUUGCGCUUCUUUCUACUAUUGUUCUUCUUUCUUUUUUUCUUUCUUCAUAAUUGUUAUUUUAUUUAUUUUGCAUGUUUUAGGAAUUUCAAUGUUCUAUUGUUAUGUGUAUGUUCGUGUUGCCUAUAUUAACAUGAAUUAGCAUGUUUACUUCUGAGUUUAUCAGUUUUCUUGCAUGAAACUUCCUGCCGAUUUCAUCACAAUUUGGUUCAUGUUAGGGUUUAGUUUAAUUUAGGCUUUUUCUUGGAUGAUUUAUAUGGUAUGACUCAAUUGCACUAUUUUAUUGCUUGUUUGUUAUUUUGAUUUGAUUUUGGAUAAUUACUGGCUUUGUUGAUGUAAGCCAUGGUUAUUAAACACUUGUAGGGGGUAACUGAACAAAAGAAAAAAAUUAAGGGGGUCAUUUAAAAGGUGGAAAAUAAGGGUUUCAAAUAGAGCAUCUAGAAGCUUCUAGAGUAUGGAUAGCUGGUUCUAUUUUGCAAAUAAAAACUGCUGAUACUAACUAUAAAUGGCUAGUUGUCCAUUUGCUGUUAGGAAAGAUGCUACUUUCCUGAAAAUUAGGACUGUGUUGAGGGAAUAAUUCCCUUAUCUUUAGGAGCACAUGGGAUGUUUCAUUCCUUAUAUAUAUAGGAACCCCUCCCCCCACUGAGGACACGGAAAAAUAUAACCUGAAACUCUUCUAAAAAAAUCCAGCUUCUAGCUUUCCUAUUUUCCUUCUCUUUACAAAAUUUGGAAGGAGUUUUCUUUGAAUUUCUGUGUUCUUGAGCUGAGAUAUGAGAUGAUACUGAAGCUGUGGUUAGUGAAUACUGUUGUUUUCUUGGCUGCUGAACUAUUAGUCUUAACUUGACAAUUUCGGAUCAAUUCUUAAGCAACUAGGUACACACUUCACCCUAUGCUUAAGUAUUUGUAAAUAUGAUUUAAAGAUAAACGUACGUUAUUUUGUCAAUGAUGUGUGCUUUAAUAAUGUCAUUCAUCCACAUAAUGCAACAACAUUUGAGUUUUCCUUGAAUAUGUAACUCCCUGUUCAUCCAGUGUUCUUAUGCCAUGAAAAUAUGUUUCUUGUGUGUGUUAAAUAAAGCAUUUGCCAUCUGUUUGUUUCAGUUUAUGUACACCAUCUUUUGUUUAUUCUUGUCCAAUAUUCUGGCAUCUGUUAGUUGAGCUUGUUUGGUAAUACAGUAGGUCGCGUCUGUAGCCUGUUGAUAUCCAAUUUUGUCUCUCCUUUCAUCCAAACUAUUUUUUUAAGCUUCUAAAAUAUCAAAUAAUGUCAGACUAGUUAUUUUCUCCUUUCAUCCAAACUAUUUCUUUAUAUUUUUAUUCUUAUUACUAUCUUAUAUCAUUUUAUUUUUUUAAGUAUAAUUUUUAUUGUCCUUUUUGCAAAAAAUACAACUUCCCUUUAUAUAAGAGAAAUAAUAAUAUUCCUUCAUCCUACACUUUAUAAAAAGUUUAGUCUAAAAAUAUUAUGAUAUUUUAUGCACUAUUUAUUAUGUAGUAUUUUAUAACUAUUUUUUUUAAGUUGCUAGAAAUUAUAAUUUUGCUAACGCUAUUAAAUAAUGAUAAUAUUGUCUUAUAAAGAACCCCAAGUAAUCAAAUAGAAGAAAAGAGUCCAAAUAGCCCAACAAUUUCAGCUUCUUUGGAGUAUCUAUUUUGGAAUUGGGAUUUUUACCUAUCUAUACCAUAUAACAAACCUUAUUACCUCCCAUGUUUAAGGUUUGUGUUUAUUAUAUUCAAGCAUAUUAAAUUUCAAUUUAUGUACCAUAAUUCAAAUUAAGGGUAUAAUUAUUGCUUCAUUUAUUCUAGAAAUUUAAGCAUACCAAAUUUCAAUUUAUAUACCAUAAUUCAAAUUAAGGAUAUAAUUAUUGCUUCAUUUAUUCGAGGCAUGAUUUUAGGAGCAUAUAUUCAUUUUCCCUUUUUUCCUCCUCUUCUCUUUUCUUAUGUUUCCUCCACCUUAAUAUACGGUAAUCACUAUUAAAUUCAUUAGGUGUAUAAGUUACCAAAUUAUGUUAAGGAAACAUAUGAAGUUUAAUCGUUAUUUAUUCCUUAGGAUAUCAAUUAUUCUUUAGUGUACAAAUGAGUUUAAAGAGUUCGUUCUAUUGAGUCACAUAAGAAAAGGAACACAAAUAUCUUCAGAUAUCUGAAGAAGAUUUUUUCAAAAAAAAAUUAUUCUUUUGCAAAAGCAGUUUUUUUACAAAAAAAAAUUAGAAAAUUAUUCCACAAUCUUUUAUACAAUAUAGCUAAAAUAUCAUACAACUUGAUAUAAUUUUUAUAUAAUAUUGUUCAACUUUCAUACAAUAGCUAAAUGAAUAAAAGACAUACUUGCAAAAAUUGUAGAUAAAUUUUAGAUAAAUUGUAGAUAAAUUCAAUUUCAGAUUGUAAAUAAAUUAUAGAUAUAUUGUAACAAUACAACUUUAUGCAAUACUUAAACUGAUUUAUAGUUUAUUUGUAGAAAUUGUGUAAUACAUUGAAUUUUAAUAUCCCAAUUCUAAUUUCAAUUGUAGCAUAAUUGGCAUUUUUGACAUAAUUGUAGAAGACUUUUAGAAGUUUUAGUCUUUCCAAUCUACAAUUUAUCUACAAUUCUACAAUUUAAAUACAAUUUUGAAAAUAUGUCUUCUUUUUCUUCGACGAUUUUAAUAUGAAAUUCAGUCAAAAUCAAGUCUAAUCUUCAACAAAACCCCUCAAAAUUUAGAUAUAAACUCCUAAGCAUAUUCCAAAUAAUUUACAACAACACCCAAUCCAAACAAAUAAUGAUUUUUGAAAAUUCAAUCUACAAUUUAUUUACAAUUCUACAAUUUAUCUACAAUUUAAAUACAAUUCUGAAAAUAUGUCUUCUUUUUCUUCGACGAUUUUAAUAUGAAAUUCAGUCAAAACCAUGUCUAAUCUUCACAAAAACUCCUCAAAAUUUAGAUACAAACUCCUAAACAUAUUCCAAAUAAUUUACAACUACAACCAAUCUAAACAAAUAAUGAUUUUUGAAAAUUCAAAUUUGAAUUCAAAGCUUUCAAGCUUUUUAGUGGCUAUCAAUAGUGGAAAAUACAUGGAUAAUGAGAGAAUCACGCUGCAAUGGAUUUGCUUCCGUUUUAAAUAUCAAAAUUAAUGGUGAUAGAAUCACCAUUAAAUCUGAUUCCUUCUAUUUUAGCGCGUUUUUAGGGUGGAAUUCAUCUAUUUUUGGUUUGGUACAGAUUUUGUAGACAAACUAUUGAUUAGGCGAAUAAAUACAAUAUUAUGAAUAUUUAUUAUAAGAAGGUUUGCUAUAUGAUAUAGAUAGGUAAAAAUCCCUUUGGAAUUUUAACCGCCCAAAUGUCUUGCAUUUUAGCCACUUAAAAUUAGCCCAUCAGAUACAGCCCAAUUAUUUUAGCUCAAGACAAUCUUAAUACAUCAGCUAGGUAAUCUUGUCUUCUUUCCCCAAGAAAUGCUGCUCCUAACCCCUUUCCCCCUUUCAAGCAAAGCUUCAGUAUCUUUAACCAUGGCAGAAGCUUUCAUUAAAAUUGGAAUCGGAUAUCAUGAGUUGAGGUUCUUUAUACUAGUAUUCAUGUUUUAUGUAUUUUUCUUAAUCAUGUGAAUAUCUGUCACAAAUUUUGAUAGCUUUUUAUGGUCUAGAAAUCAUAUUCUAAGCUUCUUUUUUAUUUCUGUAUGAGAAUAAUGACUUAAUGUAUUUCUUUAGCCCCCUAAAGAUCUAUAUUAAAAUUUGAUAAUUUGAUAUAUUCUAAAGACUACAUUUAAAUUUCCUUAAAGUCAGAAUUGUAAUUUAAGCAUAAACUUAUCAUCUCUGUGUCUUUACUUUACUUUGACUUUCUUCUCAUUUAGUAUUAUGUUUAUUGAGAAGUAAAUGCUCUUUAGUAUUUUAUCUGCCCUCCCUUUUUUAUUAUUUAUGUCUUUCUUUUAUUUUGCAUGACACAUGGGGUGUGUUCCUGAGUCUUGCUUUGAGACCUGACGACGCCGCGACUCUAUCCGGGCAUUUGAGGGCGUCUAUGACGUUCUUAUUCUCUUUUGUUAUUUGUUGUACCUAGUCUUUUAUUGUCAUUGAUUUAUGUGUGUUUGGUGUUAUCUCAAUUUUUGGAUUUAAUAAUCUAGGAUUUUUAUCUCAUUCUCAAUAUUAUCUCACAUGAUAUGACAGUUAGAAUAAGAAGUUCAAAAUCAGUAAUAACUUUCCGCCUAGUUGCCACUAGCGUGUCUAUUUUUCAAAGUUUUUUUCCUCCUAACACUCUUUCAAGUAAGUUCAACUUGUUAAAGUGAUACUUUUGAGAGCCCGUUGUCAAAUUUGUUUUCAAUAUUGUUAAGUUGGAGUUUUCUUCAUAAAUGGUGCUGCACCACUAACUAGUUUUUUUGAAAGACAAGAAAUAUUUCAAUCAAGCGUUGCAUUUCAGCUCACUUUUUAUGACUAAGUUACUUUAAGGAUAUACUCUUUUUUGCAGUUUUCAUAUUCCUAGAGUAUAAAAGUUAAAGUCCAAAUUAUUUAUUCGUUUGAGUUUGAAAUGUUGAAAGUAAUUUUCUUUCUCAAUUAUGAAUUUAUACAACUCUAAAGUGACUCAAUUCUCUUCGUGACAUUACCGUACAUGUAUUUUCUAAAUCAAUUAAUAAUUAUACUUAUAAUGCACACAUAUGUUGCUACUUAAUUUUUAAAAUCAAUUAACCUAAGUUUGGUCAGUUUACCAUUUUUAAUGGAUCUUAAAAGAUGCUUAACACCUUUCUUUUGAGAUAGUUAGAACCCUUACCUAGAAUUUCUAAGUGUAAGCAGAUCAUAAAAUUGAGUUAACUUUACUGCAUUAUUUAUAUUGGUGUCCUAAUUCACCGUUAAAAUAAUUAGGUGGUGACUCUCUUUAAUUAAUUAAAUCUUCAAAAUUUCCAAUAUGUUAUAUUCUAGUUUGACUCAUGUUAAAAUGGGGUAUAACAUAGCCAUGUUGUUUAUUAAUCUGACCUUUAACAUGGUUAGAUCCAUAGAUUUCAUAGCUGAAUCAAAAGUCUGAUUUUCAAUUGGCAUGGAAAAGCCGGCAUAUUUCUGGAAGAUCACAGCUGAAAAUUUCAAUUGUAGUCAUUAGUGUAGCUAUCUAGAUACUGUUGAUCAAGUUUUUCUAUUACUUCACAACUGAGUAUUAUUCAUGUUUUGUUUAACCAUGGGCUUGUAAUUGAUUAAUUCAUACUCUAUUGUUACUGUAAACAUGGUGGAUUUAGCUGUAUAAAGUAAUUGUAGAAGUAUGAUUUGAAAUAAAUCUGGC
RNAcentral lists this long non-coding RNA (5724 nucleotides) under Nicotiana benthamiana. RNAcentral describes it as "long non-coding RNA (NBEN_LNC014555)". Lineage: Eukaryota; Viridiplantae; Streptophyta; Magnoliopsida; Solanales; Solanaceae. The record is from RNAcentral.